Molecule: long non-coding RNA, 1157 nt
Organism: Durio zibethinus
Lineage: Eukaryota; Viridiplantae; Streptophyta; Magnoliopsida; Malvales; Malvaceae
Source: RefSeq, a predicted model, not a curated record
AGGGCAGCUGGAAAUGUAAAUUAACUAUCGUGAAACAGAGGAUUCAAGGAGGGCAAACCAUGGAAUUGGUGCUUCUACUUGUUGAAGUGGUGGGUUUAUUGCAGCAAAGACAGGAAGAGAAUACAAGUUUGAGGACUCUCUUGAGGACUUGGCCACGUAAAGGAAUCCAACGAGGUGCUGCUUUGGCACUUGUUGCGGCUGCUGCACCACGUGGGGGAUGUCCUCCUCGAACCCUCGUGGUCGUGGCUGCUUGAGGUUGGCAACUAGACGCAGCCAUAAUGACAAGUGGGGGUGUUGAAACCUGGAAAGUGGGGAAGCAGGGGCUGGGAAGGAUCGGUUGGGUUUGGAUUUUGUUGGGCACCAACUCACACGCCGACCUGUUGGAGAUAUAAAAGCGAAAUGUGGCUAUUUAAAAGCGUGGGCAAACCGAGUAAAGCAGCGUGUGAAGAAGAGUUCGGUUGGUGGGUUUAUAAGUGAAUGAAACCGCGCUUAUUAUUUGUGAGAUGUAGACUCGUUCCUCGAUGUGGAAACCCAUAUAUUUUUCCCCAAAGCCCCAAUCUUUACAUCAGUAAUAAUAGUAGCUUAAAGGAGCGAAGGGGGGGUUACUUUCAACUGAACGCGUCCUCUCCCUCUUCCACUCCCAUCGAUUUCACAAAAUAUUCUAAAUUCAAGCCAAACACACGCUUUUGCGUUAAAAGGUUUCAUCACCAUUUUGUGCAAUACCUGCCUAACAAGUCAUUUUCAAAGGGUUGAUGGAUAAUUUCUGCCCAUAAUGAAGACUGAAGAGAAUUAUUACUUCUCUAAUGAAACUGGUUUAAUGGUUUCAACUUUCAAGUCAAAUAGCAAGAUAUGUGUUUACACUGGCAAGUGACGAGUGGGAGAACAUUUUCCUCCAAGACAUAAAAUCAAUAGGAAUUCGUAAAGUAAAAGGUACAGUGACACGCACGUAGUAGUUUUUUCUUGUUUACACUUCACUUGAUUACAAAAUUCAUUUUACUAUAUAUAAUUUAGGCUUACAGAUAGUAAUAGUUUUUACGUAGUAUGUUCGUUUUAGAUAAGCAAAGUACUAUGUUUUAACCAGAUCUAUAAUUUAAAAUACGAUAUGAUAAAAUAUUAUGAACAUAAUACAAAAAUAAGAUAUGAAAGUGAUAUGAUCU